Molecule: ribosomal RNA, 545 nt
Filed under: Raorchestes griet (Griet bush frog)
Lineage: Eukaryota; Metazoa; Chordata; Amphibia; Anura; Rhacophoridae
Description: partial 16S ribosomal RNA
Rfam family: Bacterial large subunit ribosomal RNA
Source: RNAcentral
CCUCUUGUCACUAAUAAGAGGUCUAGCCUGCCCGGUGAUAAAUUUAACGGCCGCGGUACCCUAACCGUGCGAAGGUAGCAUAAUCACUUGUUCUUUAAAUAGGGACUAGUAUCAACGGCAUCACGAGAGCUGCACUGUCUCCCCCCUCCAAUCAGUGAAACUGAUCUCCCCGUGCAAAAGCGGGGAUAACAUUAUAAGACGAGAAGACCCCAUGGAGCUUUAAACCCUAUAGCAAUUUAGCAAAAUAUUUUCCCACAAGCUACAUAACCCUGCUAGCGGCUUUAGGUUGGGGUGACCGCGGAGUAAAAAUUAACCUCCGCAUCGAAAAGAUUAAAAUCUUAACCCAAGAAUUACUAUUCUAAGUAUUAGAAAACUAACGAACCAUGACCCAAUAUUGAUCAAUGAACCAAGUUACCCUGGGGAUAACAGCGCAAUCUACUUCAAGAGUCCUUAUCGACAGGUAGGCUUACGACCUCGAUGUUGGAUCAGGGUAUCCUAGUGGUGCAGCAGCUACUAAGGGUUCGUUUGUUCAACGAUUAAAACCC